RNAcentral lists this ribosomal RNA (171 nucleotides) under uncultured bacterium. RNAcentral describes it as "partial 16S ribosomal RNA". It matches the Rfam family "Bacterial small subunit ribosomal RNA", at positions 796 to 1041 of the family's 1533-position model. The record is from RNAcentral.
CACGCUGUAAACGAUGGAUACUAGGUGUAGGAGGUAUCGACCCCUUCUGUGCCGGAGUUAACACAAUAAGUAUCCCACCUGGGGANCGCAACGCGAAGAACCUUACCAAGACUUGACAUCCCUUGAAUUGCAUAGAAAUAUGUAAGUCCUUCGGGACAAGGAGACAGGUGG